Non-coding RNA from Parelaphostrongylus tenuis, 75 nucleotides. Lineage: Eukaryota; Metazoa; Nematoda; Chromadorea; Rhabditida; Metastrongylidae. The record is from the annotation of a GenBank genome assembly.
GCGCCAGUAGUGCAGUGGGUUAGAGCACGUACUCCAGUAUAGAGUGAGAUGUGGGUUCGAGUCCCGCAUGGCGCG